AGUAACACGUGAGUAACCUGCCCUUAACUUUGGGAUAAGCCUGGGAAACUGGGUCUAAUACCGGAUAUGACUGACCGUCGCAUGGUGGUUGGUGGAAAGCUUUUUGUGGUUUUGGAUGGACUCGCGGCCUAUCAGCUUGUUGGUGAGGUAAUGGCUUACCAAGGCGACGACGGGUAGCCGGCCUGAGAGGGUGACCGGCCACACUGGGACUGAGACACGGCCCAGACUCCUACGGGAGGCAGCAGUGGGGAAUAUUGCACAAUGGGCGCAAGCCUGAUGCAGCGACGCCGCGUGAGGGAUGACGGCCUUCGGGUUGUAAACCUCUUUCAGUAGGGAAGAAGCGAAAGUGACGGUACCUGCAGAAGAAGCGCCGG
This 374-nucleotide ribosomal RNA is filed under the name unidentified bacterium TMB813. RNAcentral's name for it is "bacterial SSU rRNA". It matches the Rfam family "Bacterial small subunit ribosomal RNA", at positions 109 to 496 of the family's 1533-position model. The record is from RNAcentral.